RNAcentral lists this ribosomal RNA (324 nucleotides) under uncultured bacterium. RNAcentral's name for it is "bacterial SSU rRNA". It matches the Rfam family "Bacterial small subunit ribosomal RNA", at positions 28 to 334 of the family's 1533-position model. The record is from RNAcentral.
GACGAACGCUGGCGGCGUGCCUAACACAUGCAAGUCGAACGAGAAUCAAUGGAUAGAGGCUUCGGCCAAUUGAAGUUGAGGACAGUGGCGAACGGGUGAGUAACGCGUGAGGAACCUGCCUUUCAGCGGUGGACAACAGUUGGAAACGACUGCUAAUACCGCAUAACGUUGCGGGAUCGCAUGGUCCUGCAACCAAAGCUUUAUGUGCUGAAAGAUGGCCUCGCGUCUGAUUAGAUAGUUGGUGGGGUAACGGCCUACCAAGUCGACGAUCAGUAGCCGGGUUGAGAGACUGACCGGCCACAUUGGGACUGAGAUACGGCCCAG